RNAcentral lists this ribosomal RNA (1102 nucleotides) under human gut metagenome. Its description in RNAcentral is "bacterial SSU rRNA". It matches the Rfam family "Bacterial small subunit ribosomal RNA", at positions 92 to 1198 of the family's 1533-position model. The record is from RNAcentral.
CGACCGGCGCACGGGUGAGUAACGCGUAUCCAACCUGCCGAUGACUCGGGGAUAGCCCAUGGAAACGUGGAUUAAUACCCCAUAGUACUUUUAUCCUGCAUGGGAUGUGAGUUAAAUGUUUAAGGUAUCGGAUGGGCAUGCGUCCUAUUAGUUAGUUGGCGGGGUAACGGCCCACCAAGACGAUGAUAGGUAGGGGUUCUGAGAGGAAGGUCCCCCACAUUGGAACUGAGACACGGUCCAAACUCCUACGGGAGGCAGCAGUGAGGAAUAUUGGUCAAUGGACGAGAGUCUGAACCAGCCAAGUCGCGUGAGGGAAGACUGCCCUAUGGGUUGUAAACCUCUUUUAUAAGGGAAGAAUAAGUUCUACGUGUAGAAUGAUGCCUGUACCUUAUGAAUAAGCAUCGGCUAACUCCGUGCCAGCAGCCGCGGUAAUACGGAGGAUGCGAGCGUUAUCCGGAUUUAUUGGGUUUAAAGGGUGCGUAGGCGGUUUAUUAAGUUAGUGGUUAAAUAUUUGAGCUAAACUCAAUUGUGCCAUUAAUACUGGUAAACUGGAGUACAGACGAGGUAGGCGGAAUAAGUUAAGUAGCGGUGAAAUGCAUAGAUAUAACUUAGAACUCCGAUAGCGAAGGCAGCUUACCAGACUGUAACUGACGCUGAUGCACGAGAGCGUGGGUAGCGAACAGGAUUAGAUACCCUGGUAGUCCACGCCGUAAACGAUGCUCACUGGUUCUGUGCGAUAUAUUGUACGGGAUUAAGCGAAAGUAUUAAGUGAGCCACCUGGGGAGUACGUCGGCAACGAUGAAACUCAAAGGAAUUGACGGGGGCCCGCACAAGCGGAGGAACAUGUGGUUUAAUUCGAUGAUACGCGAGGAACCUUACCCGGGUUUAAAUGUAGAUUGCAUGAGGUGGAAACACUUCUUCCCUUCGGGGCUAUUUACAAGGUGCUGCAUGGUUGUCGUCAGCUCGUGCCGUGAGGUGUCGGGUUAAGUCCCAUAACGAGCGCAACCCUUACCGUUAGUUGCUAGCAUGUAAUGAUGAGCACUCUAACGGGACUGCCACCGUAAGGUGUGAGGAAGGCGGGGAUGACGUCAAAUCAGCACGG